GACGAACGCUGGCGGCGUGCCUAAUACAUGCAAGUCGAGCGGACGGAUGGGAGCUUGCUCCCAGACCGUCAGCGGCGGGCGGGUGAGUAACACGUGGGCAACCUGCCUGUAAGACUGGGAUAACUCCGGGAAACCGGGGCUAAUACCGGAUAACUCUUUCCCUCACAUGAGGGAAAGCUGAAAGAUGGCAUCUCGCUAUCACUUACAGAUGGGCCCGCGGCGCAUGAGCUAGUUGGUGAGGUAACGGCUCACCAAGGCGACGAUGCGUAGCCGACCUGAGGGGGUGAUCGGCCACACUGGGACUGAGACACGGCCCAGACUCCUACGGGAGGCAGCAGUAGGGAAUCUUCCGCAAUGGACGAAAGUCUGACGGAGCAACGCCGCGUGAGUGAUGAAGGUUUUCGGACCGUAAAACUCUGUUGUCAGGGAAGAACAAGUACCGGAGUAACUGCCGGUACCUUGACGGUACCUGACCAGAAAGCCACGGCUAACUACGUG
This 498-nucleotide ribosomal RNA is filed under the name uncultured bacterium. RNAcentral describes it as "partial 16S ribosomal RNA". It matches the Rfam family "Bacterial small subunit ribosomal RNA", at positions 28 to 507 of the family's 1533-position model. The record is from RNAcentral.